GAGCUUGCUCUCAUGAAAGUGGCGCACGGGUGAGUAACACGUGGAUAAUCUGCCUGGCGAUUCGGGAUAACACUUCGAAAGGGGUGCUAAUACCGGAUAAGCCCACAGUCUCCUCGGAGGGUGCGGGAAAAGGGGGCCUCUGUAUAUGCUCCUGUCGCUAGAUGAGUCCGCGGCCCAUUAGCUAGUUGGUAGGGUAAUGGCCUACCAAGGCGACGAUGGGUAGCUGGUCUGAGAGGAUGAUCAGCCACACUGGAACUGAGACACGGUCCAGACUCCUACGGGAGGCAGCAGUGGGGAAUUUUGCGCAAUGGGCGAAAGCCUGACGCAGCAACGCCGCGUGAGUGAUGAAGGCCUUCGGGUCGUAAACUGCUUUUACCAGAACCGCCGGGUGGUUAAUACCUGCCUUGUCUGACGGUACCCACAAAGGAAGCACCGGCUAACUCUGUGCCAGCAGCCGCGGUAAUACAGAGGGUGCAAGCGUUGUUCGGAAUUAUUGGGCGUAAAGCGCGUGUAGGCGGCCUUGCAAGUCGGGUGUGAAAGCCCGGGGCUCAACCUGGGAAGUGCGCCCGAAACUGCAGGGCUUGAGUACCGGAGAGGAUGGCGGCAUUCCCCAAGUAGAGCUGAAAUUCGUAGAUAUGGGGAGGAAUACCGGUGGCGAAGGCGACCAUCUGGACGGAUACUGACGCUGAGACGCGAAAGCGUGGGUAGCAAACAGGAUUAGAUACCCUGGUAGUCCACGCCGUAAACGAUGGGAACUAGGUGUCGCGGGUUUUGACCCCUGCCGUGCCGCAGCUAACGCAUUAAGUUCCCCGCCUGGGAAGUACGGCCGCAAGGCUAAGACUCAAAGGAAUUGACGGGGGCCCGCACAAGCGGUGGAGCAUGUGGUUUAAUUCGACGCAACGCGCAGAACCUUACCCGGUCUUGACAUCCUAGGAAUCCUCCAGAGAUGGAGGGGUGCCCUUCGGGGAGCCUAGAGACAGGUGCUGCAUGGCUGUCGCCAGCUCGUGUCGUGAGAUGUUGGGUUAAGUCCCGCAACGAGCGCAACCCUCGCCCUUAGUUGCUUCGCAAGAAGAUCUCUAGAGGGACUGCCGGUGUUAAACCGGAGGAAGGUGGGGAUGACGUCAAGUCCUCAUGGCCUUUAUGACCAGGGCUACACACGUGCUACAAUGGCCGGUACAAAGCGCUGCCAACCCGCGAGGGGGAGCCAAUCGCAUAAAACCGAUCUCAGUUCAGAUUGGAGUCUGCAACUCGACUCCAUGAAGGCGGAAUCGCUAGUAAUCGAAGAUCAGCACGCUUCGGUGAAUACGUUCCCGGGCCUUGUACACACCGCCCGUCACACCAUGGGAGUCAAUUGCCCCAGAAGUCGCCGUGCCAACCGCAAGGAGGCAGGCGCCCAAGGAGUGAUUGGUAACUGGGGGGAAGUCGUAACAAGGUAAC
This 1437-nucleotide ribosomal RNA is filed under the name uncultured bacterium. RNAcentral describes it as "16S ribosomal RNA". It matches the Rfam family "Bacterial small subunit ribosomal RNA". The record is from RNAcentral.